AGGCAAUGGGACCGUGUCCCUGGCGCCGCGCUGUCUGUCACCCCCAGUCGGACCGCAGGCCAGCCUGCGGUGUCCACUUGUAUAGUUCCCUGGCCCUUGGCCUUUCCGAUCCUCGGGAGCCCAGUGUCUCUUUCCCGACGCCCCAGUAGGCUCACCUCCAAGCCUCUGGUCCUUCCAGAACCACCGGCCCUGACCGCUUGCAGAACGAGGGUCCAGCUUUGUGCUCCGCGACACCACAACGCCCCGCGUCUUCGCGGGUUCCCUCUGCAGCAGAGAUGCGCUUGGCCAUUAUUUCUCAAGCAUCGCCCAUUUUACCUAAUCCCUUAUGUUUUUAUUUGAAUCCUACACAUUACAGUUAAUCUGUAAUGAUACCGCUUCGGAUGAACCUGUUGCACACGAGGCACUGCAAUUUGUAACCUUGGAAACUGUUUUAAAUAAAGAUUAUAACAGUGGUGUCAA
RNAcentral lists this long non-coding RNA (459 nucleotides) under Rattus norvegicus (Norway rat). RNAcentral's name for it is "long non-coding RNA NONRATT024792". The record is from RNAcentral. Lineage: Eukaryota; Metazoa; Chordata; Mammalia; Rodentia; Muridae.